Molecule: ribosomal RNA, 493 nt
Filed under: uncultured bacterium
Lineage: Bacteria
Description: bacterial SSU rRNA
Rfam family: Bacterial small subunit ribosomal RNA
Source: RNAcentral
GGAUGAACGCUAGCUACAGGCUUAACACAUGCAAGUCGAGGGGCAGCAUGACGAUAGCUUGCUAUUGUUGAUGGCGACCGGCGCACGGGUGAGUAACGCGUAUCCAACCUGCCUCAUGCUAGGGCAUAAUCCGCUGAAAGGCGGUCUAAUUCCCUAUGGUUUCCGAUUUCGACAUCGUGAUUGGAAUAAAGAUUUAUCGGCAUGAGAUGGGGAUGCGUCCGAUUAGGAAGUUGGUGAGGUAACGGCUCACCAAUCCAUCGAUCGGUAGGGGUUCUGAGAGGAAGGUCCCCCACAUUGGAACUGAGACACGGUCCAAACUCCUACGGGAGGCAGCAGUGAGGAAUAUUGGUCAAUGGGCGAGAGCCUGAACCAGCCAAGUAGCGUGCAGGAUGACGGCCCUAUGGGUUGUAAACUGCUUUUAUACGGGGAUAACGUGCGUCACGUGUGAUGUAUUGCAGGUACCGUAUGAAUAAGGACCGGCUAAUUCCGUGCC